RNAcentral lists this ribosomal RNA (672 nucleotides) under Tripterygium regelii. RNAcentral describes it as "eukaryotic LSU rRNA". The stretch from base 271 to 426 matches the Rfam family "5.8S ribosomal RNA". Lineage: Eukaryota; Viridiplantae; Streptophyta; Magnoliopsida; Celastrales; Celastraceae. The record is from RNAcentral.
UUUCCGUAGGUGAACCUGCGGAAGGAUCAUUGUCGAAACCUGCAAGGCAGAACGACCCGCGAACAAGUGAAAACUAACGCGGGCGAUGGGCCUUUUGGGCCGAUCGCUCGAAGUCCAAGGGGAGGGAUGUGGGAAACUACAGCUCCUCUUCCGCGGGCACAACGAACCCCGGCGCAAAUUGCGCCAAGGAACCAAAAAAUGAUGUGCGCUCCCUUCGCCUGGAAACAGUGUCGUAGGGGGUUGCAUCGUCGUCCAUAUUUUAUAUGAAACGACUCUCGGCAACGGAUAUCUCGGCUCUCGCAUCGAUGAAGAACGUAGCGAAAUGCGAUACUUGGUGUGAAUUGCAGAAUCCCGUGAACCAUCGAGUUUUUGAACGCAAGUUGCGCCCGAAGCCGUCAGGCCGAGGGCACGCCUGCCUGGGUGUCACGCAACGUCGCCAACAAUCCCCUCACCCCCUGCAUAGGGAAUAGUUUGGGGUGGCGGAUAUUGGCCUCCCGUGUGCUCCCGCUCGCGGUUGGCCCAAAAAACAGCCCCUUGGCGAUGGCAGCCACGGCACGCGGUGGUUGGAAGCAUUAGCUCCUAAAAAACCGCUGUGGGCAAGCCUCGUCGACGGGGAGCAAAAGACCCUGACGCAAGCGUCCUCACAAAGCGACCCCAGGGCAGGCGGGAACA